GUCCAGCCGACGAGUUCCAAAUGGGACGAAACGCGCGAACUGGAU
Non-coding RNA from Schistosoma mattheei, 45 nucleotides. NCBI's taxonomy places the organism in Eukaryota, Metazoa, Platyhelminthes, Trematoda, Strigeidida, Schistosomatidae. The record is from Rfam.